AUUAUGGAGAGUUUGAUCCUAGCUCAGGAUGAACGCUGGCGGCAUGCCUAACACAUGCAAGUUG
This 64-nucleotide ribosomal RNA is filed under the name Ostreobium sp. HV05007bc. RNAcentral describes it as "partial small subunit ribosomal RNA". It matches the Rfam family "Bacterial small subunit ribosomal RNA", at positions 1 to 64 of the family's 1533-position model. Lineage: Eukaryota; Viridiplantae; Chlorophyta; Ulvophyceae; Bryopsidales; Ostreobiaceae. The record is from RNAcentral.